Molecule: long non-coding RNA, 549 nt
Organism: Mauremys mutica (yellowpond turtle)
Lineage: Eukaryota; Metazoa; Chordata; Testudines; Geoemydidae
Exons: 4
Source: RefSeq, a predicted model, not a curated record
GAUGUAAACUGUUUUAGGGCAUGGACUAUCUUCUUAUGUAUUUGCCAGGCACACCACCAUAAUGGGGCCUCAACAGUGAUGGUUCCUUUGGAUGAUAAUUCAAUACAAAUAGAAAAAGGAGGCCAUAAAAUAUCACAUAUGGACAUUGUUCAGUACACACCAUCCAGCAACUGAAAGGAGAAGCAGGGAUGCUCCUAGCACACAGAUGAAGCUGAGCAUUGCUGCAGGAACCAAGGGGCUGUUUAGUCAGAGAAGAAGGAACUGCCCAAGACGUGGAAUGAUCAAGAUUCAUUCUGUAACAGACCAUGUUUGCCUAAAGAAUACAAUCUUACCACAAGAGGGGUGGAGGAAAAGCUAAAGGAUCUACAAUGACAGAGUUCCAUUAAAAUCCUUCCUGAAAGGGCCUCAAGACACCCUGCCUCCAUGAUCUACUCCCCACCAACCAUCCUUAUAUCUGCCACAAAACAUUCUCCUCCGGUCCUGCAUCAUUUGCGUCACCCUCAAGCCAGGAGAAGAGUAGCUGAUUCACUCUCAACAGAAAAAAUGACA